RNAcentral lists this long non-coding RNA (944 nucleotides) under Trifolium pratense (red clover). Its description in RNAcentral is "long non-coding RNA (TPRA_LNC009988)". Lineage: Eukaryota; Viridiplantae; Streptophyta; Magnoliopsida; Fabales; Fabaceae. The record is from RNAcentral.
GCAAAUUAAAAUAAAUUCAUACUCAAAACUCAACUCUUUCACCUUCAAACUUUCUUUGUAGAAAAAAAUAAACCUUCAAAAAAACAAAAAUGUGAAAGGGAAAGGGAAAUCAUUCAUCCAAAUCUAAAAUGCUAAAAUCUACAAACCUUCAAAAAACAAAAAUCUACCAACACAAAAUUCCUAAAAAAUCUUAACAAGUCAAAAACAACAUAGAAACAAAAACCAUCUUCAAACCCUUUUCACCUUCAAACUCAACCUUUCCUUUCAUCAUUACUAUCCAUAUCCAUCUCACCUUCUAACCCAAUCUUCAACCCUUCUCACCUCCUAACCAACCUUCAAAUUCAGAAACAAGAAACAAUAUAAAAAUACCAUCGCAGAUUCAACCCAACAGUUUCCAUUUCUAUUUCUUUUCUGGAUUUAUGUCAUAUCCAUGGCUUCUACCCAUUUUUCAAAGUCAAUCCACUUGACUCAGUUAAGAAUCUCCCUUUUAAGAAACAAAUAGAAAAUCUAUGAAAUUGAAUACAACUCAAAACUCAAUCGAAUAACAAUAACCUACAGACCGUUCGUUUAGCAAAGUAUAAUCAUAAUCCAUGAUUUUUCAAGCAAGUUCAGUUCUAGAUUAGUAAGGUUCAUGUGAUUUGAUCUAGAUCUAGUAAUCCAUGAUGCAUUGAUGCUUGAUGGAAGGUUGAGAGGAGGAAGAAGAUUUGGGUUUUUAGAUUUGGAUUCCUUUGCUGUUGAAUGUUAAUGAUAAAUAAAUUAUGAGUUUGAUUUUUGUUGGGUAUGAAUUUUCUUUAAUAUAUUGUGCUUUAUUUUGUUUUUGUUUUCAAAAUUAAUAUUAAUUAAAUUAAAAGCCAGGUAGACAUUAAAAAAUCCAGCAAAUUAUAUAAAUAUCCUAGUCAUAAUGCCAUAUCAUUGUAUUUAACAGAUAUUUAACGUUUUGGACU